Molecule: transfer RNA, 86 nt
Filed under: Micrococcus luteus
Lineage: Bacteria; Bacillati; Actinomycetota; Actinomycetes; Micrococcales; Micrococcaceae
Description: tRNA-Ser(cag)
Rfam family: tRNA
About the family: Transfer RNA (tRNA) molecules are approximately 80 nucleotides in length. Their secondary structure includes four short double-helical elements and three loops (D, anti-codon, and T loops).
Source: RNAcentral
GCGCGAGUGGCGGAAUUGGUAGACGCGCUGGCUUCAGGUGCCAGUGUUCGCAAGAACGUGGGGGUUCAAGUCCCCCCUCGCGCACC